Molecule: ribosomal RNA, 460 nt
Filed under: uncultured bacterium
Lineage: Bacteria
Description: partial 16S ribosomal RNA
Rfam family: Bacterial small subunit ribosomal RNA
Source: RNAcentral
CCUACGGGAGGCAGCAGUGAGGAAUAUUGGUCAAUGGACGAGAGUCUGAACCAGCCAAGUAGCGUGAAGGAUGACUGCCCUAUGGGUUGUAAACUUCUUUUAUAAAGGAAUAAAACGAGGCACGUGUGCCUUUCUGCAUGUACUUUAUGAAUAAGGAUCGGCUAACUCCGUGCCAGCAGCCGCGGUAAUACGGAGGAUCCGAGCGUUAUCCGGAUUUAUUGGGUUUAAAGGGUGCGUAGACGGGUUGUUAAGUCAGUUGUGAAAGUGUGCGGCUCAACCGUAAAAUUGCAAUUGAUACUGGCAGUCUUGAGUACAGUUGAGGUAAGCGGAAUUCGUGGUGUAGCGGUGAAAUGCUUAGAUAUCACGAAGAACCCCGAUUGCGAAGGCAGCUUACUAAACUGUGACUGACAUUGAUGCUCGAAAGUGUGGGUAUCAAACAGGAUUAGAUACCCGAGUAGUC